Long non-coding RNA from Zalophus californianus (California sea lion), 1326 nucleotides. RefSeq lists it as uncharacterized. The transcript has 3 exons. NCBI's taxonomy places the organism in Eukaryota, Metazoa, Chordata, Mammalia, Carnivora, Otariidae. The record is from RefSeq and is a predicted model, not a curated record.
UCCGUCUGACGGACACAGGUUUGACAUACGCCAAAGCCCCGCCGUCUGCUUCGUCGCACUGACCCUGCCAAUGCAACAAACAGCCAGACCCUCUCCGCACGUCCAGCCCUUCCCGGGCACCGCGCGUCCAAGGGGAGCGCUCAGGUGCAUCUUGCACUUCGAAUUCGAUUUUGCCAUCUGCUGAACUAGUAUAAUUGAUAUCAGUGCAGCAAAGGAGGAAAUUUUAAGAGAGUGACCAAGCUGUGUUAAAUGCCAGAGAGAGACUAAGGAGGAGGGAGACAGAAAAGUUUCAUCAGAUCUGUCAUUAUGGAGUUCUCUCAGAGAGGAUUGAUAUCUCCUCUAAGCCUGGGACAGGCUGGUUCAUAACAAGAUCCAACUCGGAGCAUCACUGACACAAACAGCAAGUUUACAGGAAGAAUCGGUUCCAGGGCACUCUGACUGUUUCAUGCAUGUGAUGUAGUCAUCAGAAUUGCAAGACAAGGAAGAGAUGGGAACUCUUAUGCGCUAUUGAGUGGAGAUUAAAUUGGUACAAUUACAUUGGAAGGCAAUUUGGCAAAAUCUAUGAAAACAAAAGAUGCCCUUACCUUACAAUCUAACAAUUUCACUUUGCUAUAUAUAUCCAAGAAACUCUCCCUUAAAUACAUAAGGACACAUGUAAAUGAUUAUUCAGUGAAGCAUCCUGUAUAACAGGAAAAUAAUUGGAAACAACCUAAAUAUUCAUCAGCCUGAGAGUGGUUAAGUAAAUUGUUGUAUGAUCACACAGAGGAAUACUAUAUGGUAGUUAAAAUACAUGAACUAGAACUGGAGCUAUAAUGUGCAUCAAUCUCAAAAAAUAGACUAUCUAGUGAACACAAGAAAGUAGAGGAGAUACAUAAAGCAUGCUAUCAUUUAUAUUAACUUUAGACCCAUGAAACAAUAGUACAUCUUCCUAUGUGUGAUAAACAUUUUAAAAUAUUCACAGUAAUAAUAACUCCCAAAUUCAGGAUAGUUGUUACCUCUGCUGAAGAAGGAUAAUGACAAGAGUUUGCAGAGGACUUUAGCCAAAUAUGGCAAAUAUGGCAAAAAGUAAAUAUUUGACAAAAUUUGGUUGGAAAGGCGAGUUCAUAUUAUUAUUUUCUAUACCCUAUAUACUUGAAAUAUUUCAUUUAAAAGUAUAUAGGGGUCUUCAACCCUGGAAUUCUGGGAUUUUUUUUUCUUUGUGCAGAAAUUUCUUUUUUUUUCUUUUUCUCAUGUUGAAAUUCCAUCCAUUUUUUUGAUAUUUAAUUCAAGUCUCACUACCUUAUUGAGAACUUCUGUGACAAUCUUGUCAGUCUAUACUAUGCUUUA